Molecule: long non-coding RNA, 1200 nt
Organism: Pygocentrus nattereri (red-bellied piranha)
Lineage: Eukaryota; Metazoa; Chordata; Actinopteri; Characiformes; Serrasalmidae
Source: Ensembl
UUAUCCAGGUCAUAUGUGUAUCAUGUAUUAUACUACUUAUGUAUUAUUCUUAAUGUUUGUGGUCAGUUGCUGAGGCUGUUCCCAGGCUGCUCUUUGUCAGAUGUCAUAUCCAGUGCCACUGCUCAAACAGUCAAAGCUCAGUUGAUGGAGCAGACCCAGAUGUGGAAACUUGCUGGCCGUCCUGCGUCAAGGCUUUCAGACAAGCUUCAGAGAAUGGCCCUCCAGCAUGACACAGACAGCCAGUCUGAAACAGCCUCUCAAAGCUCAUUAAGUGUGGAGAAUGUGGAAACAAAACUUAAACCCUGUGUAUCUCCCCGAGACCUGCUCAGCAGCAAGGAACAGGUGACCGAGGCAGUAAGGAAGGUCCUGCACCAGAGGCAGUCUCUGUAUCGUACCGGACCUCGUCUUUCUCCACUUCGCCUUGCAGAUGCUUCAGAGGCUGCCCUCUGUGCUGCCAAGCAUCCAUACGCAUGGAGGAAUUUCAGAGGCUUGGGCCUUAACUGUUGAUGGCUUGUCAGAAUGGCUCUGUAGCAAUCAAACUGCAAAACCCUGCAUAUAAUAUCUUGAGUUUGACCCAAAACAGAUUAAUCACUGAGACAGAGUUUGUCGAAUCUUGCUAUUAUUAAAGAACCUCACAUAUAUGUAGAGUGCAACAACAUAAUAGUACAGAAACACAAACCUAUUCACAGGAAAGCUGUAGCAUUUUUAGUUGGACUACUAAAAAUAUGUAACUUGUAGAUGACUUAGAAAUAAAACCACAAUUUUCUGAGCAUUAGUUUGGCUCAACUUAGGGAAAUGUCUAGAGGGGAAGUUUAUUAUUAGAAGACAAUAACUGUAGAGUUGAAUUCAUUGUAUUUCAAUUUAUUGAUAUUAAUAUUAAAAAAUAUUACUUAUAUGCCAAAAAGGUGCAAUACUUUCUACAGUAUUGGUAGUACAGAGUCAGAAUUGGUUCCACAUUUUUGUGUUACUGCAAGUAGAAGAAACACUUAAGAAUGCCCACCAAUGUGAGAGCUAAACAAGGUGACAGUGGCAUCUGAAUGUGUGGUUGCCGAAAUGGUAUAGCUAAACAGCACCAAUCAAGAGGAAAAGCAGCAGAACUCACAAAUUGAAACACUCUGCAUUUAAAACAGAUGAUGUAGGCAAUGUUGACAAUGCACAAAAAUGGACUGCAAAUAUGGAUUAUAUUAUUUUAUAUUAUAA